UCUUUGCAGGUAUUUGCUAUUAGGGGUUAGUUCGAGGUGCUAUAUGGUUGAAUGAGAAGAUAGUGUGUUGUCAUCAGCUCUGCAAAUAUUAUUUAUUUGUCUACUGAUUUAAGAAAUCUUUGAACAUACUAAUCUCCAUUUCAGUUUAUGAAUAACCUAGUACAAAAAAUAAUAUUAUUCCAUUAUACAGGCCAUUGGAAAAUCAUUUGUACAGAAAAAAGUAUUUGUUGUGUAUGAGUAAUGGCGUGAUAAGACUCUAAAUGGAAAACGAAACUGAACUUGAAAUAGAUGAUUGAUUGAACUGAAAAGAACAAAAAUUACAGAUAUGAAAAUGAUUACGGGACUCCUUUUCACACUCAAUAAUUGCCUGCCUAUUAUGCUCCCUUAUGUUCUUAUUUAUAGCCCACUCCUAACUACUUCACCCUUUGCCAUUUGCUGCCUAACAGAAUUCUGUUUCUACUGCCCACCUUCCCCCUUCAGUCUUCUAGAAUAUGUAAACCGUAUUUGGGGUUUAUCAAUACCCCCAGGGUCCAAAGACACCUUGUCCUCAAGGUGGAAGUUAGGAAAUUGUUGGCGUAAUGUUUCUGCCGACUCCCAGGUAGCUUCUGAUGGAGGCAAAUCUUUCCACUGUAUAAGUACUUCCUUGCUUAGACCCUGCCCUGCUGUAGAACUCCUAACCCCCACGACUUGUUCAGGUUUAACCAUCCACUCCAGGUGCUCGGUUAGGUGAGGAGGAAGUAGUUGACUUACUUCGUUUGACCUCAGAGCCUUCUUCAGCAGAGAUAUAUGGAAGACAGGGUGUAUGGUUGCAGCAGGGGUUAGUUGUAAAUGGUAGGCGACCGGCCCCACCCAAUUUAUAAUCUCAAACGGUCCAAAGUACUUAGGCCCCAGCUUUUCGUUCUGCCUUCUUGCCAAUGAAUGGAGGCGGUACGGCCGUAGCUUUACAUACACCAAUUCCCCUACUUCAAAAUGUAAUUCCCUUCGAUGUUUGUCAGCCUCUGUUCUCAUUUUGUUCUGAGCUUUAAGGAGAUGUGCUUUAAGUUCGUCUAGCAUGCUAUCCCGGUCCCUUAGUUGCUGCUCCACAGAAUCCACUGUUGUCUUCCUGCUGCCAUAGCGGAUUAACGGUGGUGGUUUUCUCCCAUAGACCGCCUUGAACGGGGUAGUGUUGGUGGAUGUCGGGAAAGUGGUAUUAUACCAAUAUUCCGCCCAAGGUAGCCAAGUGGACCAGGUUUUGGGCUUAUCGUAUGAGAAACAUCUCAGAUAGGCCUCCACGCAUCUAUUCACCACUUCGGUUUGCCCGUCGGUUUGGGGGUGGUAAGCCGUACUUCGCUUGAGGUAAGUACCCUGCAGUUUGAAUAGUUCCGUCCAAAAUUGACUUAAGAAUAUUUUGUCCCGAUCAGAGAGGAUAGAGCGAGGAAUUCCAUGGAGUCGCACUACCUCCUUGACGAAAAUUGUUGCAACACUAAGAGUGUGUUUGAUUGACAUGGAAAAUAUCACCUAGAAAAGAAAAUAUUUUCCAUCUUUUGUGGAAAAUAAAAAUCACCUCUAUCCAAGGAAAAUAUUUUCCUUAAAAACAAGGAAAAUUAGGCAUAUUUUCAAAAGUUGGAAAAUGUUUUCCAGGGAAAAAAAUAGCAAUCAAACACUCCAAGUACAAAUUUGGAUGAAAAACUAAUAUUUUCCAUGGAAAAUAAAUGUAAUCAAACACACCCUAAAUGUUGUGAAUGGAUGUCUCAGUGGUAAGAAGUGCGCAUAUUUACUUAAGCGGUCAACGAUCACCAGGAUGGAGUUAAACCCAUUUGACUUAGGAAGUCCCUCCACAAAGUCCAUUGAAAUAUCCUCCCAUAUCAGAUUGGGGAUGGGAAGAGGUUGCAAGAGCCCGGCUGGUGAGAGCGCACUAGUCUUAUUUUGCUGGCACAUAGGGCAUUCUUCCAAAAACUUCCGAACAUCCUUCCUCAUCCCUGUCCAAUAUAGAUCGCCGGUCAGCCUCUUGUAAGUCCUUAAGAAUCCUGAGUGCCCCCCUACAGCACUAUUAUGAAACUCCAGUAGUAACUUAGGAAUUAAUGGUGAUGUGUGGGAAAGUACCAAUCUCCCUUUAUACAAUGAUUUUCCUUGUUUGACCGAAUACCUGGGGUGCGCUUCCGGUUGUCCUGCAAUUCUUUCUUAAUUUUAGACAACAGUGGGUCACCUUCGACUUGCGCCUCAAUCAUCUGUACAUCCAAUGUUUGUGGAAAGGUGAGAGCUUUUAACUCGACUGGGCCGGAAAUUCGAGACAAUGCAUCUGCUGCCGUGUUCUCAAUCCCAGGACGAUAUUGAAUUUUGAAUUCAUAUCCCAUCAGCUUGGUUAUCCAGCGUUGGAACUCCCCAGGUACUGUCCUCUGCUCAAGGAGAUAUUUGAGGCUACGUUGAUCAGUGUGGACGAUAAAUAUCCUUCCUAGAACAUAGUGCCUCCACUUCUGUAUAGACAGCACAAUUGCCAUUAAUUCCUUCUUGUAAAUGGAUUUCUGUUGGGAUCGACUGGAUAGAACCUGGCUAAAAAAUGCAAUGGGUCGUCGAUUCUGCAUAAGAACCGCCCCCAGUCUAUACCCCAAAGCAUCGGUCUCAAUAACGAACGGUUGUGAGAAAUCCGGGAUUGUGGUCAUGGCCCUUUUUAGAUUCAGGAAAGCUGCCUCUGCCUUAUUAUUCCACCCAAAGGCGUCGUUCUUCAACUGAUCAGUGAGGGGUCGUGCAAUGGUUCCAUAUCCUGCCAGAAAUCUCCUAUAGUAGCCAGUCAAUCCUAGAAAACCUCAUAAUUUCCAGAUAUUACGAUGAACAGGCCAAUUACUCAUGGCUGCAAUUUUGUCUGGGUCGGCUUUCACACCUUCUGCUGAAACAAGGUGCCCCAGAUACUCUAUUUGUUGUUGGGCAAAGAGGCAUUUCCUUUCAUUGGCAUAUAGUUUGUUUUCCUCCAAGGCUGAGAAGACAAGGUCCAGGUGUCGUUCAUGUGCUGGUAGAUCUUUACUGUACACCAAAAUGUUGUCAAAGAACACAAGUACAAACUUCCUUAAGAAAUUUCGGAAUACCUGACUCAUCAAUGAUUGAAAAGUUGCCGGGGCAUUAGUAGGCCGAACGGCAUUACUAAGAACUCGUAAUGACCUUCGUGGGUCCUGAAUGCAGUUUUUGGCACAUCUUCCUUCCUUACUUUGAUAUGAUGAUACCCAGACUUUAUGUCCAAUUUUGAGAAUAUCGUUGUUCCAUGAAGCUCGUCCAGUAACUCAUCGAUCACUGGAACGGGAAAUCUUUCCGGUAUUGUUGCUUUGUUCAGAGCCCGGUAGUCCACACAAAAACGCUAGCUACCGUCUUGUUUUACUAGUAACACGGGACUUGAAAAUGGGCUGAUGCUAGGUUGAAUUAUCCUUGCAGCUAGCAUCUUCUUGACCAACCUCUCGAUCUCGAUCUUCUGGAAGUGUGGGUAUCUGAAAGGCCUUACACUGAUUGGAUCAGUCCCAGCCUUCAAAGAAAAAGCGUGGUCCAAGCCCCGGGCAGGAGGUAGCUCUCUUGUUUCUGUGAACACCUGCUUAUGUUGUUGUAUUAAUUUGGACACCCCUUCAGGUAUUUCUUCCUCUUUGCCCAUUAAAGCUCCACAUUCUGCAGGUUGCUCCAUUUCUACCCACAAUCCUUGGCCCUCUUUCAAUAGGGCCUUCACCAUCUCUCUCAGGGACACCGCAGAUUUAUUCAAUCCUUGGUCUCCUCUCAGUGUCAUCCAAGUUUCCCCCAUCCGAAACUUCAUGGUUAGCAAUUUCCAAUUCACCUCCAUGAAACCCAAACUCCCAAGCCACUACAUCCCCAAUACUAUGUUGGUGCUGCCCAACUCUAAGGGCAAGAAAUCUUCCACAAUGGUUAGCUCUUGCAAUUUCAGCACUAUUCUUUUGCAAAUCCCUCGUCCAGUAACCGAUUCCCCUAUCCCCAUGAUGACCCCGUAGCGGUUUAUGGCCGUAGUCGGCAAACUUAACCUCCGUACCACCUCUUGCGAGAUAAAAUUGUGGGUUGCCCCACAGUCGAUGAGCACAACCACGUCAGUGGGCCCAACUAUCCCCUUGAGCUUCAUGGUUCCGGGAGUAGUCAGCCCAACCACUGAAUUAAGGGAUAAUUCGAUUUUCUCACCCAUCUCCAGUGGAAUUUCCUCCGCCAGACCCCCAUCUGCAUCUUCGUCUUCCUCGCCUUCCUGGACCAGUAAUACCCGCAAUUCCUUAUUCUUACAUUGGUGGCCCACCGUGUAUCGUUCUUCACAGCGGAAGCACAAGCCCUUAUCUCUUCUCAAUUUCCACUCCGCGUCGGACAUCCUCUUGAUCGGACCUUCUCUUCGCUGGUUCGAUCCUUUCUCAGCUACCGUGAUAGUCUUGGUCGGGUAGGUCUCCAGUUUAGCUGGGUUGGAAUGAAUUUUGAAACCCCUCUGGGCCGUUGUUUGUUUAAACCUGUGGAGAUUCCUGUAUUCUACCUUUUGGGCUAUCUCCAUGAUUUGGCCCAACCCCUUUGGGCCCAAUAAUCUAACUUCUGCUUUGAUAUUCGUUUCGAGUCCAUUUAAGAAUGUACUCUCCAUUACCUCAUCCGGUAUUCCAGCCAGAGGAGCAGCUAACAAUUUGAACUCUCGCCGGUAAUUUGCCACCGUGCCUUCUUGGUUGAUGGCCAAAAAAUUUUCGCACAGGCUACCGUUAUACGUCGCAGGAGUUGCUGCCAACCUCGAAAUGGUUCCUCGUUUCGGCCCACCUCAGCCACGACAACGCAUCUCCAUCCAGACUAACCCCUAUCGCCCCCAUCUUCGCCUUCUCCGUUAAUUCAUUUACCUCAAAAUAUCUUUCCGCUCAAAAAAGCCACCCAUAUGGGUUAUCUCCACUGAAAAUGGGCAUCUCCAAUUUCUUCACCCGUCGCCAUUACCUCCUUCAUUCAGGUCGUGUACCAUGGUUACUCUCCCCACACUGGCCUCUCCUGGUCCUUCUGGCCAUUUUUCCUUGCUCAGCGUGUGUUGGGUGUUCUCCGUUCUUCGAUGGUCAUGGAUCGGGAUUGGCCCUUCCGUGAUGCUACCACCUCCCUCACUGUUACUGUUUAGUGCCCCCUUUGAGAUGGAGAGGGCCGCCAUUGACUUCCUAGUCUCCUCUACUGCUAACAUCAUUUUGGUCAUGUGCUUGGUCAACUUUUCCACUGAUCUUUCUAACCCCGGUAGGCAUUGCAAUUCCGUUUUGAUAUCCUCCACCUCCUUCUCCAUUGAAUCAAUCCUACCCUCAGUUUUUUUUUGAGCCAUAGGAACGAACGUGCUCUAAUACCAAUUUGAUAAGACUCUAAAUGGAAAACGAAACUGAACUUGAAAUAGAUGAUUGAUUGAACUGAAAAGAACAAAAAUUAAAGAUAUGAAAAUGAUUACGGGACUCCUUUUCACACUCAAUAAUUGCCUGCUUAUUAUGCUCCCUUACAUUCUUAUCUAUAGCCCACUCCUAACUACUUCACCCUUUGCCAUUUGCUGCCUAACAAAAUUCUGUUUCUACUGCCCACCUCCCCCCUUGAGUCUUCUAGAAUAUGUAAAUCGUAUUUGGGGUUUAUCAUGGUGAUGAUAUAAUCCCUUGGCCAUGCUUAAUAUCAAACUAAUGAUAGUUGGGUUCAUCAUUUUAUUACUUUCUUUGAAAGGUAAAUACUCAUUUAAUGAUAAAUGUUAAUGCAAGAUUUGGAAAUUUACUUGUCGAGUUAUGAGUAUAACAUUACUUUGGAGUUAUAAUUAUAACAGUUAGUUUUAAUGAACUAUACGUGGCAUUACAUGCAUAUUUGAUUGGCCUUUAAAAACAUAUUCAUUUAGAAAAUUCAUAUGCAUUGGUUUAAAAAAAAUAAAAACCCUCGAGCAGUGCUCACCUAAGACCUUCAUUCAACCCCUCAAAGCUUGUGCUCUGAGUACCAUUUAUCCAUUAUUAUGCCUCGUAUUUACUACUUAUUGAGAUGCAUGCCUCAUUGUAUAAGCCUUGAGUCGACUGAGGUUUGCACCAGUUUGUCUUUCCAUUUCGAAUUUUUACUACUACUCUAAGCUUUUGGGCUGGUUUUUUGUAGCCCAGAACGCUUGAGGUUAAUUUGACUUAUUUCAAACACAACCCAACUGUAAAUGCGAAAAACUACAGGGGAAAAAAAUCAGAGAAGAAAGAAGCAAG
Molecule: long non-coding RNA, 6164 nt
Filed under: Olea europaea (common olive)
Lineage: Eukaryota; Viridiplantae; Streptophyta; Magnoliopsida; Lamiales; Oleaceae
Description: long non-coding RNA (OEUR_LNC002322)
Source: RNAcentral